Long non-coding RNA from Nycticebus coucang (slow loris), 9402 nucleotides. RefSeq lists it as uncharacterized. Lineage: Eukaryota; Metazoa; Chordata; Mammalia; Primates; Lorisidae. The record is from RefSeq and is a predicted model, not a curated record. The transcript is spliced from 5 exons.
AUUCCAGGCCAUGGGCUGACUGUGACGUGGCCUUGACCAGGGCAAUUUGUAGAAAAGGGCAAAAGGGAAGAAAAACCAAAUCAAGUGUCCAGAGCACCACUGAGUUUUAACUGUGGGUGGUGUGGUGUGUUAUUGAAAUCCUGAGAAGCCACUUCCAUUUCCAUUGGUAUUUCCGGAAAAACAACUAUCAUUGAGCAAUGGAGGCUGGCCUCAAUCUGAAAGGCUGUUUAUGCUGUGAAAAGCCAACGUGUCAAUAGCAGUGUCCCAAGAGAGCGGCAAUCAAUAAUCCUCCAACCGAUGGCCAGUCUUCAUCAGAGAGUGAGGCCGGGGCUGACUGGUGCUGGAGAGAUGCUUCUGUGGUUAGCUUUGUAGGGAGUGUGGGGUGGUUCCCAUCUCAACUCCUGGUAUGUGGUUGUCAUCUAAGGAAGCAUCACUUGUUCGUGAACAAUGUGUUUAGAGAGUCUAUGGCCGGAACUCCUGAUCCAACCUCUACUGGUGAGAGGAGCUCAAAGAAGGGUUCUAGGAGGAGGGCCCUCACCUUGUCUGCCUUCCAUCCCACCACCUGUGAUACAUUGCUGAAUUAAUGAAUGGACGACUAAUUGCUUGGAUGAGUGAGUGAAUAAAAGCACAGUGCCAGCCUCAGAGAAGGCUCAGUGAAACAGCUUUUUAUCUCAUCGGACUAACAGGGGGAAGAGCCCAUCGUGAACUGUAGCAGACACUUCUCCCCUGGUCUUGGACUUUUUCUUCCUAUAGGGUAUAGACACACAUCUCUUGCUGUGAAACUGUCUAAUGGGGGCCAGAGACGGACAUUCAUGAUAGAAGAAACUGCCCUAUGCUGUGUACUAUGGGAGCAGGGAAAGGUGAGGAGGGUGUGGAAGGAAGGACCAGCUGCAGAGGUGAAGAGAAGGGGGCAGGUAAGAAGUCCUAUAUAUGGGAGUGAAGAUGGUGUGGAUGGGAUGGACCCAGCAGAGACGAGCCCCUGGACUCUGCCCCUGCCGCUCACCUGCACUCUGUGUCAUGGGCUCCGCGGGGCUCCAUUGGCCCUGGAAGUGGGGGCAGCGAGGGUGUCUGAAGACCAAAAGAGCCCCUUGUGUGAUAGGACCAGGGUUCCAGCUCCAACCCCACAGGACCAGGCAAGCAUCCAUGAUGCCUUCAAACACCAUGAAAUAUCAAAUUAGUUAUUUAUUUAAUUUUAUUUUUUUUAUUUCAAAACAUUAAGAGGGUACAAUGGUUUUGAUUACAUAGAUUGCUUUGGUAGUGUUUGGGUGGGAGUUAUAAGUGUGCCCAUCACCCAGAUAGCGUUCACUGUACCUCUUAGGUAGGUUUUCACCCACCCCGCCCUCCACCCUCCCUGCUGCUUGAGUUCCACUGAGUUCUACUUCCCUCUGUGCUCAUCAGUUAGUUCCAAUUUGAUAGCUAGUACGUGUGGUAUUUGUUUUCCACUCUUGCAAUGCUUAGGAAAAUGGUCUCCAGUUCCAUUCAAACUGUUGCAAAAGACAUUAAUUCAUCCUUUUAAUGGCUGAGUAGUACUUCCUGGUAUAGAUAUACCACAUUCUGUUAAUCUACUUAUGGAUGGAUGAACACUUCAUUUGAUUCCACAUCUUUGCAAUUAUGAAUUGUGCUACAAUAUACAUUGAAGGGCUGGUGACUUUUUGAUAAAAUGACUUCUUUUCCUUUGGUAGAUGCCCAGUAGUAAGAUUGCUGGAUCAAAUGGUAGGUCUACUUUUGUUCUUUCAGGAAUCUCCAUACUGUGUUCCAUAGAGGUUGUACCAAUUUACAGUCUCACCAACAGUGUAUGAGCAUUCCUUUCCGUCUACAUCCCUGUCAGCAUCUAUUGUUUUUAAUAAGCCCAAGACUCAGUCAGGAAGAAACAGAGCUCUUGUACAUACCAAUAAUGAGCAGUGACAUUGAAGUGGUGACAAAAUCUUCCAACAAAAAAGCCCCAGGCCAUGUGGGUUCACAGCUGAAUUUUACCAGACCUGAUAAGAAGCGCUGAUAUCUAUGCUGCAGAAGUUAUUCUACUACACAUUGAGAAGGAGGGAAUCCGUCCUACUAUAAAUCAUUCUACAAAGUAAGUGUCACCUUGAUACCAAAGCCAGGAAAAGACACAACGAAAGGAAAAGAAAAGAAAACUGUAGAUCAAUACACCUUAUGAAUAUAAAUGCAAAAAUCCUCAAUAAAUUACUAGCAAACUGAAUUCAACAUCACAUGAGAAAAAUAAUGCCCCAGAACCAAAGUGGGCUUCAUCCCAGGGAUGCAAGGAUGGUUCAACAUGCAUAAAUCAAUCAAUGUGAUUCACACAUAAAUAGAAGUGAAAACAAGACAUAUGGAUCAUCUCAAUAAAUGUGGGAAAGCAUUGGACAAAAUUCAGCACCAUUUCAUGAUUAAAAAAAACCCUGAACAAACUAGACAUGGAAGAAACGUAUCUCAAAAUUAUAGAAGCUGUAUGCCAUAGUACCACACCCAACAUUAGACUGAAUGGGGAAAAGUUGAAAGCAUUCCAACUAAGAACCAGAAAAGAAAAAUGUGCCCACAGUCACCACUUCUAUUCAAAACAGUGCUGGAAAUCCCAGCCACCAAGACAAUAAUACUGAGGGCAUCCAGACUGAGAAAGAGGAGGUCAGACUAUUGCUCUUGGCUGAUGAUAUGAACUUGUAUCUAUAAAAACCUAAAGAUUCCACCAAGAGUGUCCUGGAAUUGGUGAAUAAAUUCAGAAAAGUCUCAGGUUAUAAAACCAAUGUACACAAAUCAGCUAUAGAGAAAAUAAAAUACCUAAGAAUGUCCUUAGCCAAGGAAGUGAAAGUUCUCUACAAAGACAGCUAUGGAACACGGAGGAAAGAAAUUGCAGACAACAUGAACAGAUGGAAAACCGUAUCAUGUGCAUGGAUUAGUAGACUCAACUUUGUUAAAAUGUCCAUAGUACCCCAAAUGUUUUACAGAUUCAAUGCCAUACUUCAUCAAAAUAAGAAGGUCAUAUUUCACAGAUUUGGAAAAAGAAAAAAUAAUUCCUUGCUUCAUUUGGAAUUGAAUUAAUUUUAAAACCAUUCACACCCCUACACUGCUGAAUUUGCAUGUUGUCUGACUCAGCUUGGGGAUGGUGUAGGAUGGACACAUUUCAGGGCAAGAAGAGCUUUCAAGUCAAGUAUUGUGAUUGUCUCCGUUCUCUACCCACAUAAUAGGAAAAACUAUCAUUUACUGCACAACCGCCUUCUGUUAAAUACAGUGAUAGAAUGGAAAUUCUGCCAGUUGUAUAUAUAAGUGUUUAUUUAUUUAUUUUUAGAAAUGGAGUCUCACUCACUCUGUCACCCAGGCUGGAAUGCAGUGGCAUAAUCAUAGCUGCUCACUGUAGCCUCCAACUCCUGGGGUCAAGCCAACCUCCUGCCUCAGUCUCCAGAGUAGUCAGGACUACAAGUAUGUGCCAUCAUGCUAGGCUAAUUUUUUAAAAAGACAUUUGUAGAAUUGGUGUUUCACUUUUCUGCCCAGUCUGACCUUGAACUCCUGGCUUCAGGGAUCCUCCCAGCUUGGCCUCCCAGAGUUCUGGGAUUGCAGGCAUGAGACUUGUACCUGACCUAUUGGAUUUCAUUGUACAAGAGAAGGAGAAGAUAGACUUCCAGGACACUAUACAGAAGAAAAGAAAUGAGCUAACAAGAUAGGAGAAACCUGGCUGCCAUGGAAGGGGUUGGCUGUGGGAAUCAGUGGCCCCAGACCAGGUAGGCUAAUGGAGGAUAUUUUAAUUCUCUCUAAUGUCUCUCUAAAUGGCAGUCUCAUUCUGUCACCGUGGGUAGAGUGCUGUAGCAUCAUCAUAGCUCACAACGACCUCCAACUCCUGGUGGGUUCAAGUAAUUCUCCUGCCUCAGCAUCAAGAGCAGCUGGGAUUACAGGUGCCCACCACGAUGUCUGGCUAGUUUUUUCUAUUUUUAGUAGAGAUGGGGUCUCUUGCUCAGACUGGUCUCCAGCUCAAGGAGUCCACCAGCCUUGGCCUCCCAGAGUGCUACAAUUUUAGGCCUGAACCACCGCACCCGGCUGUUAAGGAGUAUUUUAAAGAGCUUGGUUCUGGGCACACUAUGACCCCUAUACAUGAUGCUCAGAUAGGCACUGAAGUCCAGUUCAUUGUCAAGUGCCCUACAUCAGCCAUGUCUGUGCAUGAUGCCCAGGUGUGCACUGAAGUCCAGUUCAUUGUCAAGUGCCCUACAUCAGCCAGGUCUGUGCAUGAUGCCCAGGUGUGCACUGAAGUCCAGUUCAUUGUCAAGUGCCCUACAUCAGCCAGGUCUGUGCAUGAUGUCCAGGUGUGCACUGAAGUCCAGUUCAUUGUCAAGUGCCUUACAUCAGCCAUGUCUGUGCAUGAUGCCCAGGUGUGCACUGAAGUCCAGUUCAUUGUCAAGUGCCCUACAUCAGCCAGGUCUGUGCAUGAUGCCCAGGUGUACACUGAAGUCCAGUUCAUUGUCAAGUGCCCUACAUCAGCCAGGUCUGUGCAUGAUGCCCAGGUGUGCACUGAAGUCCAGUUCAUUGUCAAGUGCUCUACAUCAGCCAGGUACAGAAGUAGCAUUGAUGUGGCACAAUAAGGGGGGAAUUUGGAAACAAACAGGAGGCGUUGGAGCUGGAGACUGGAGACAGGUUCCCUUCCGAACAUGAGUUCUUUAGGGAUGUGUAAAAAUAUCAGCAGGGCCUUAGACUUCUCUGGUGUGUGGGAUAAAGGUUUACAGUGGUCCCUAGGUAUCCUUGGGGAACUGGUUCUAGGACCUCCCUUGGAUACCAAAAUCCAUGCAUGCUCGAGUCCCGGAUAAGAAAUGGCAUAAUAUUUUCAUGGAACCCAUGGACAUCCUCCUCUUGUUUUAAAUCAUCUCUAGCUUACUUACAAUACCUAAUACAAUGUAAAUGCUAUGUAAAUGGUUGUUAUACUAUAUUGUUUAGGCAAUAAUGACAAGGAAAAAUGUCUGUACGUGUUCAUUGUUGAUGCAGCCAUACACUUUGUAAAAAUAUUUUUGAGUCUUUUACAUGUGGUUAUCCAGUUCUCCCAACACCAUUUAUUGAAUAGGGAUUCUUUUCCCCAGUGUAUGUUCUUGUUUGGUUUAUCAGGUAGCUGUAAGAUGUUGGUUUCAUCUCAUCUAUUUGGUUCCAAAUGUCAACGUCUCUAUUUUUUGAGCCAAUACCAUGCUGUUUUGAUCACUAUGACCUUGUCGUAUGGCCCCUCACCACUUACAACGAUUGAUUCAAGAUAUAUGAAAUAUUUAAAUUUAAGGCAUGAAACAAUAAAAAUCCUUGAAGAAAGUGUGGGGAAAACACAUGAGGCUAUCAUCUUGGGGAACUAUUUUAUGCCACAUCCAUGGCAAUUGCAACAACAAAAAUGAACACAUAGGAUUUACUUAAACUGAAAAGCUUCUGUAUAGCUAAGAAAACAGCAAUCAAAGCAAAUAGGCAACCUUCAGAAUGGGGAAAGAUAUUUUCAUAUUAUGAAUCAGACAAAAACUUGGUAACUAGGAUCUACAGAGAACGCAAAUUAAUCAACAAAAAAGAUCCAACAAUCCCCUAUAUCACUGGGCAAGAGGCAUGAAUAGAACCUUCUCUAAAGAAGACAGAGAAAUGGCUGCCAAACAUAUGAAAAAAUGCUCAUCAUCUGUAAUCAUCAGAGAAAUGCAAAUCAAAACCACCCUGAGAUAUCACCUAACUGCAGUGAGAAUGGCCCACAUCACAAAGCUGCAGAUGCUGGCGUGGAUGUGGAGAGAAGGAAACCCUUUUACACUGCUGGUGGGACUGCAAACUAAUAUAGCCCUUUUGGAAGAAGUAUGGAGAAUCCUCAAAGAACUCAAAGUAGACCUCCCAUUUGAUCCUGUAAUCCCAUUACUAGGCAUCUGCCCAGAAGAAAAAAAAUGCUUUUAUCAUAAGAACUAGAUGGUUUAUCUCAGCUCAAUUUCCAACUGCCAAUUGUGGAGACAACCUAAAUACCCACCAACCCAGGAAUGGAUUAACCAGCUGUGAUGUAUACCAUGGAAUACUAUUCAUCCAUUAAAAGACAUGGAGACUUCACAUCUUUUGUAUUAACCUGGACUGGGGUGGAACUCAUUGUUCUUAGCAAAGCAUCACGAGAAUGGAGAAGCAAGAAUCCAAUGCACUCAAUUCUAAUAUGAAGGCAACAGAUGAGCUAAUACAAGGGCUUGGGGAGGGGAAAGAGGGAGCAGGGAGAGGGGAGGACAGAGAGGGAUGUGGGUCACAGUGUAGGUCACACCUCUUGAGGGAGAGACACAAUUAUAAGAGGGACUUUACCUAACAAAUGCAAGCAGUGUCACCAAAUUCUUUGCAUCCUCGAUGAAUCCCAAACAAUAAGAAAAAAUAAAAAUAUUUUUGAUCUGAGGUUGAUUGAAUCCAUGGAUGCAGAACCCCUAGAUGUGCGUAGCUGACUGUAAUGUGAUUCAAGGAGGUGGGACAGUGACACGUGCUGACGUCAGACCUGGUGAUCUCUCUAUACAGCGGGUAGGUGGCAGCAGCAGCAGCAGUGUGUGGCAGACAUUCUAGGACGAGACACUCAGUUAAAAGUCAGACAUGUUCCUUGAUAUUGAAGCCCAUAUUCCCUCUUCAUUCAACUUGGUGUUAUUAGUGCAGGUGAAACAGAGGUGCCGAGAAACUCAAAUGUACACAAAACCAAUGGAAAGUCAGCCUUGAUUAUUCAGGCUGGUGGUUUAAGACUGGCCUUGCACUCGUGAAGCAGCGGGACUAGUCGCCUCUUUCAAAGCUCCAGUCCGAGAGCACCUGGUUUUGUGCAUGAGUGAGUGGUGGACGUCGGUCUGGACAGGGCAUGGUGUGGUGGCUCUCCCCAGGGGGGUUUGCAUAAGUUAAAGGAGAGCACGGGCCCUGACAACACAUAAAUGAAUUUGUUUCAUACAUACAAAUGUAGAGGGUGCUAGAAAAUGGUACAUUUAUGCAAAUGGUACAUUUUAAGAAAGGAGAAAACUGUAUUAAAAUUAUAAUACUUUGCAAUUACAAGAGAUACAAGAUACAGUAUACAAAAUAACAAUGUUUUUUUUUUUAUUGUUGGGGAUUCAUUGAGGGUACAGUAAGCCAGGUUACACUGGUUGCAUUUGUUAGUUAAAGUCCCUCUUGCAAUCUGGGGGCAAGACAAAAUAACAAUGUUAUCCAUAUAUAUUGUAAUUGUAGACGUUUUUUCCUUUCUUAAAAUGUGUAUAUAUAUUUUGGGGCACCCUCUGUAUAUUAUAUCAUGAAUAUCACAAAACAUACACCAAUUUUUGUUUUAUUUUAUGUUAUUGAUUUAUUGUUUCAGGGAUGGGGGUCUCACUGGGUUGCCCAGACUGGAGUACAGUGGUGCAAUCACAGCUCAGAGCAGCCUCAAGCUCCUGGCUCCAGUGAUCCUCCCACCUCCAUCUCCCAAGUCCCUGAGAUUGCAGCACCCUCAAAUCACAACUGAUAUUUGAAAUGACAUAAUGAUGCCGUAGAUAAACAGCACCCACACACUUCCUACACUUAGCCCAGCCCAGCGCCACUUGUGUCUGGGAGGACCCCACGUGACUCAGGUCCCAGGCUCUUCCCCUUCCACCUGCAGGUCCCUUGACCUCCCUGGACAGCCCCAGCCCUCACCUCUGCUUCACCCCUGCCUUGGGUGGGGCUCUGUGUGGUGGGCGGUGCAGGUCAGAGCAGCCUUGCUUGCCUCAAGUGCGGACUCAGCAAGCAGCUCUGUGUGUUUUACAUGGGGUUACACAUGCCAAAAACAGCAAGAGUGCUAAGGUGUUGGCUGAUGAUUAAGGAAAUUAAACUUUUUUUUUUUUUUUAGGGAGAAGAAGUAACAUUUAUAACUGCUACUUUUGUUCCCUUUAAAACAGCAAUGGGGGGUGGACUCAGGAGGGCUGAGAGCAACAUGCCUCCCUCCCACUCACCCAAAGGCAGUGAUGUGAGAGCCGCCUCUGGGUUUAGCCAUCAUCGCCAUCGGUAACGGCCAAGUUCUUCCUGCUACUGCCACGACCAAGAGAGACAGGAAAAGGAAAAGGGGGAAAACCCUGGGUGGGAAGCAACACGCACCUGUGUGCCUGGUCCCUGAAACGCGGGAAGCAAUGCGCCUGUGUGCCUGCUACUUUGCAACGUGGCUCACAGUUACUGCAGAGGUCCCAAGAAUGGGACGAAAGAUGGGAAGGGUCACCAGAGUACAAAGUGCUCUGAAUAUGCUCCAGUGUCAUUGUCAGAACCACACCAAACCAACCAGCUCUCAGCUGGUUCAUAGCAGAGAAAUCGAGGUUCAGAGCAGCUUCACGCAUCAGAGGACCAGCCUGGAUGUGCCAUGGCAGAGCCCAGGAGCUGCAGUGCACUCAGGAUGCUGAGAACACCUCUUCCUUUUCUUUUUCUCUUUCUUUCAUUCUUUUUUUUUUUUUUUUUUACAAAAUAAAACCUCACAGCUUAUUUGGCUUUGAGUUCUUCAAAAAUUGAAAAUAUCAAGUCCUAUUGCUAAAGAGAAAAAAAUAGAUAAACAUAAAAUCCAAGGCCCCUCCCCACUUCACUUAAAGUCACAGAACGCGAAAGAAACUCCAGUGGGACGGGGGGUGCAGACAGCCAGAAGUAGAGGAGGCAAGGUAAACUGCAAAUAUUAGAAAGCUGCUCAGCAGAAGCCGUGAUUAACGUGAGACCACGCAGGGCAAGUGACAGUUAGGACAGCGGUGAUGAGAGGCUGUGUGAAGACUCCCAGCCCGAGGCACAACUCACCCCUUCCGGAUCUAAAUGUUGGCCCCUUGGAGCUUCCUCAAGAUUUCACUAGAAGCAGUUUAUGAGGCACAAGCACUCUGCCUUAGAUAUACCAGGAGAAAACGAAGAUGCAGUAAUUUCAUCUUAUAUCAUGUACCAUGUGUGAAUUUGUAGUGCAUUUGUAGGAGAAAUAACCCAGCCAGGGUGUGCCAUGGCUUCUUCUGUCUUCCAUGGCAGCAGAAAUUCCUUACAAUCUUCAGGAGUCAAAAAACAAGAAAACUCAGACGCAGGUGGCAGCCCAAACUGCCUCGCUAGCUCACGUUGUCCAGUAUUUCACAACCAGUAGUGAAUUCCAAGAACCUUUUCUUGAGUAUCACCAAGAUAAAACUUAAACAAGGGUACAUGUCAGAUCUAUUAGUAUAGAGCAGUGGUUCUCAACCUUCCUAAUGCCGUGACCCUUUAAUACAGUUCCUCAUGUUGUGGUGACUCCUAACCAUAAAAUUAUUUUCGUUGCUAUUUCAUAACUGUAAUUUUGCUACUGUUAUGAAUCGUAAUGUAAAUAUCUGAUAUGCAGGAUGUAUUUUCAUUGGUCACGAUCCACAGGUUGAGAACUGCUGGUAUAGAGUAUAAAUGUCAUAACCCAAUAAUUAAGUAAACAAGAUGAGGUAGAGAUUAACCAGUGUGAUGUAAGCAUUCCUAAUUCUACUUGAAAUCAGCACAUUG